This is an RNA transcript of Phalaenopsis equestris, 2560 nucleotides long. It is a transcript of the gene named serine/threonine-protein kinase STY46-like, with no coding region annotated. Lineage: Eukaryota; Viridiplantae; Streptophyta; Magnoliopsida; Asparagales; Orchidaceae. The transcript has 3 exons. The record is from RefSeq and is a predicted model, not a curated record.
AAAUAUAGUAUUCUGUCCACGGUCUCCUCAUUUUAUUUAAUUGAAUUGGAUAUAACUUUUUUAUGGAGUGCGUGACAAAUGAUUGUCAACUCUUACACCUCAUCUCUCGCAAAAUACAAAGAAAAAAAUAAAAUAAAAUAAAAACUCUGACACCUCACCCUCAUAACAAACAAAAUCUCAAGCUAAAAAAUAAUAAUAAUUUCUCACUUUUUCCCUUAAUUUAUUUUUUUUUUUGCUUCUAAUCUGAACUAUAAAUCGAAGACGCCCCCACUCUCCCAGUGACGUCGUCCUCAUCAACAUCUCUCCCCCCAAUCCAUUCCUCGCACCACCGAGAUGGCGGCUGCGCUCGAAUGCUGCUCCGAUCGGCGGAGCACGAACGAAGAAAUGCUCAAUCUACUCCUAAUGAAAGCCCCGCCUUAUGCCGGCGCAUUCCGGCGACAGUUGCCGGAGAAGAAAUGGCAUCGCCUGAGCCGUAAAGCGGCCGCAGCGAUUGCCGCCCUACAAAAAUCUCUCAACCGCCGCUUCACUCCCCCUUCCCUGUCUCAACUCUUGCCCGGAAUCCAUAUCCCUGAGAAACUUCUCCCCGACAUUCGCCGCCAUUUCGAUUCUCUUCCCAAUAGCUACUCUCAAGCUGGAUUCGACAUCAAGGAGGUUUGCCUUCAUCUUCGAUUAGUCGAGCUGGCCGCAAUCGAUGGUCAGCCCGUCUUUCAGAUCGAACGAAUCUCUGGUAGGGCUUCCGAUUUCAAGAUUAUUUUUGCCUGCAAAUCGGCCUUCUCGUGGCCGACGAUGUCGGGUGCCAUCGGAGGGGCGGUGCUCUGCUACAAGAAGAUUCAGAUCUUUGAGAAAAAGGGGAUUACCCUCGGAAUCGUUACCGUCCUCGUCGAUGCUCGUGGAGAGAAGAACUUCAAGUCCCGUAUCGAAGCGGCGCUUCGUUCCGCCGCUAAGAACCAGCUGAAUGAGAGCUUCAAGCUUCAUUUCAGCAUUUGCGGAUGCCGCGAAGAAGGCCUGGUGAUCAAUGAGGGCAAUUCUUCCUUUCCCCCUUCAUCGAAAAUCAAUACCAACCCCCCUCGCCAGAUUCAUCUCCCAAACCCACUUCCCGAGAUCGUCUGCUCCGGUGGCGUGGAUCUCGGCCGGUGGCUUCUCAGAUCGGUAGAUAUCGAAUUCGUCGAAAGGGCUGGAAUCAAUUCUUUUAUUGGAACUUACAAUGGGGAGAAGGUGUGGAUUAAGAAGCUGAAACGGUGUGAAAGGGGAAGCACAUAUGCAAUCGAGAUCCAGCAGAACCUGAUGCAGCUGAUGAGCUGCGGGCAUAAGAAUCUGCUGCAGUUCUGCGGCGUUUGUUUCAACGCGAGCAAUGGGCUCUGCGUCGUCACUCGGCUCAUGGAAGGAGGAUCCGUUCAUGAUCUGAUGAAGAACAAGAAGGUUAGGGUUCGUUCCGUCAUGAAGAUUGCAUUAGAUGUGUCGGAGGGUCUGUUGUUCGUGAACAAUCAUGGAGUGGCUUACAAAGAUCUCAACCGGCAGAGAAUUCUGUUGGAUCGAGAGGGUAAUGCUUGUCUUGGCGACAUGGGCAUUGUUUCCACCUGCAUGAAUCCAGGGGAGGUCACAGAGUAUGAGACUGCUGGAUACCAGUGGCUAGCUCCAGAGAUCAUAGCUGGCGAACCAGAGAGCAAAACUGAGACCUGGAUGAGCAAUGCGUACAGCUUCGGCAUGUUGUUGUGGGAGAUGGUUACCGGAGAAGUCGCAUACUCUUCCUGCUCGCCGGUGCAGGCGGCCGUAGGCGUUGCGGCCUGCGGAAUGCGGCCGGAGAUCCCAAAGGACUGCCCUCCUGUUCUUCGGUCCUUGAUGAUAAGGUGCUGGAACAACUGCCCCACAAAGCGUCCCACGUUCUCUGAGAUUGUUUCCAUCCUUCUGAAGCAAAAGAUUUGAGGAUCGAUGGCUGAUGUUUGGCUCUCUCCAGUUUUUUUCGUUAAGCGCAAUCGUUUCAAAUCUGGAGCACAACAUUUGGUGAUUGUUAUCUCGAUCCCCUUUGAGAAAAUGGGGCUUACUUCAAAUCUCCAUGAGACAUUGUUCUCCGCCUGCUAUCGCCCUCACGCAACUGGCCAUCCACCUUUGGGACUUAGCUCGCCGACUACUGUGCAAACCUGAGCAGGGUGAUGUUGCGAACUCUUUGAAUUGGUUGAUCAUCUUCCUCAUCUCCUCUUCUCUGAUCAGGAGUGCUCGACUCGGGUGUGAUUUUGAUGCAACCUUUGCCUUAGGUUGAUAAUUUUCUGGAGCAGCUGUCACUGAUUCUUCUUUCCCAGCACGAGUGGAUGCAAAGGAACGAGAAAAAGAAGCACUGAAACCGAUUUGUUGCAGUCUUUUUGAGUGGUUUGAAGUCAUUAAUUUACGCUCGAUCGAGCUGAAUCUUCAUCUUAGCAUCAAACUUCGGUUCCUGUGCUUCAUGGACGGCUGUAGGUGCUACGAACCAUCAUUGUCCUGUGAGAAUACUAUGGAUCCAUCCCUUUCACGAUUUUUUUUCUAUUACAAUUCUUUUGACGCCAACAAAUCCUUUGUCUUUAUAGAU